This 361-nucleotide ribosomal RNA is filed under the name uncultured bacterium. RNAcentral's name for it is "partial 16S ribosomal RNA". It matches the Rfam family "Bacterial small subunit ribosomal RNA", at positions 338 to 716 of the family's 1533-position model. The record is from RNAcentral.
CCUACGGGGGGCAGCAGUGGGGAAUAUUGCACAAUGGGGGAAACCCUGAUGCAGCGACGCCGCGUGAGUGAAGAAGUAUCUCGGUACGUAAAGCUCUAUCAGCAGGGAAGAAAAUGACGGUACCUGACUAAGAAGCCCCGGCUAACUACGUGCCAGCAGCCGCGGUAAUACGUAGGGGGCAAGCGUUAUCCGGAUUUACUGGGAGUAAAGGGAGCGUAGACGGCAGCACAAGUCUGGAGGGAAAUCCCGGGUCUUAACCCCGGAACUGCUUUGGAAACUGUGCGGCUGGAGUGCAGGAGUGGUAAGCGGAAUUCCUCGUGUAGCGGUGACAUGCGUAGAUAUUCGGAGGAACCCCGGUGGC